CUCCUUGCUCAGACCCCUGGGCUGGCAGCAGCAACAUUGCCCUUUAUAAAGCCCCCUACCAGCUAGAAAAGGUGAGGUGCUUAUCAACCCUUACGAAGGAGCAGAGGGUGAGAGUGAGGACGUCGGGCAUCACCACCCAGAGAGACAAACCAAUUCAUGCUUGGGACUAUUUGGAGGUCAGCGUCGGCCUUGAGGCAGAGGAACCUGGGGCUCCAGCAAACCAGCUCACAAUCUGCUUCGCGCUUGAUUUAAAGGCGCUGACAAGCUGCUGCCCGCUCCCCAGCACGGUGGCGAGACUGGAUUGGGACUGUCAUAUAUAAUGCAUGGAGUCAGGGCCGCGAGCCGGGUUGUACGCGUGUGUGAUCCGCUCUGGAGCGCUGUUCCCAGAGCCAUUGUGCAAACAUAUUUACUCUGCAUAAAAGAAUGGGAUGAAGCUGCAAAGGACAUUUGUUCAUCGAAGUGGAUUUAAUUUUUAAACUCGCAUUAGGACAGGAUCAACCUUGCUGAAGGAGGAGCGCUCUCUCAGAGGCAGAGAGAGCCCAGCCAGCCAUGGUCACCAUUAAGUCACCUCCAUCAUACUCUGUGAGUUAGGGGGGCAAGUGAGGAUGUGAUCCACCAAUCCCCAACGAAGAAUCCUAGGGAAGAAUCUGAUUGGCUAGUCACCUGCCAGUCAUCACAGCCGAGGGAAAGGAGGGGUGGAGCAGCGACUCCACCAACUACAAAAGGUGAGGUGCUUAUCAACCUUUAUGAGGGAACAAUGGGUGAAGACAAUGACCAGGGUGCAGGCAGGCUGACCAUCCCAUCGGUUUGCCUGGAACUGUCCUAGUAUUAGCAAUGACAGUCCCAUGUCCCCAGGGCAAACCAGGGUGGUUGGUCACUGAAGUUCAAGUCCCUCUAGACAUUUCCAAACCUAAUUAACAAGUUGGGGAAGCGAGCUGUAACCCGUUUCUCUAGCUCUUUAUUUGUGUGAUUUGGCCAGAAAUUGCUUCAAGAGGAGACGUUCAAAAAGGAACAAAAAAUCAGAACUGAAACAAUGUCGGAGGGCACUUUGGGGUUUCUUCAGCAAAAUGCAAAUCCCUCCAUUAUCUUGUGGUUUAAACCAAAGCUGCCUUUUGGAAACUCCCGCUGAUUCUCCAGCCUCAUGGAGGGUGGCAGGUUCCUCUUUUAAGUGUUCCAGGCUAGGAGUUGCGUGGUUAACGCUGGGGUAAUACACACUCUGUAUUUGCUACCACAGCCCCCCACCCCUAGAAGUCUCCCAAGAGGAAAUCGGUGGUGUGGUCAUGCACAGCUCCUGUGCUCCUGAUGGAGACUGUUGUGGAUCCAGGGCCAUCUAGACAUCUAGGUAUUUUCAGCUUUCUUCCCUUAGGACAAGAGGACCAAGGCCUGAGCAGCCCUGAAUCGCUCCCAUGAUGGCCCAAACAGGCACGGAGGAGGGUGAUUGGUCCCUGAGAAUGUGGAUGCCUGGAGCAGUUCACGGUACUGUCUCUGCCUCGUUCUGAGCCUGCACUGGGGCCUUGGGUCCCUGCAGAGCUGGUGGCCCACAGCUGGUAGCACUGUCCAGGUGCAGGUUUCAAUCAUCUUCCAGGUAAAGGACGUGCACGUGGCCUAACAAUAGAAGCCGACCUUCAGUAAGAGCCACCUGGGAUGGGGCAGGUCACCGGACCACCUUUCUUCACCUGUGUCCCAUCUGCGGUGGGGAGGGGGGACUUCAUUCUGCAUUUUACAUUUGAGGUAACUGAGGCAACCUGGAGGAGGUCACAGAGCUAACCAUUAGUGGGAGAGCAUCAGGCACAUGAGGACCUGCAGCUUUGCAGGAGGAAGAUCCUGAUGCCCCCAAGCAUCCUCACAGGCGCUCUCGGCUGGAGGUUCAUCUUUCAAAUCAGCCCUGCCUCCUCCAGUCAGCUCUGUCUGGUUUAGCUCAGCUAACAGGAUGCGUCAGCUUACCUGAAUAAAACACUUUACACCCCCACGUAAGGACCAAUAAGCUUAACCUUUAGGGACAGGUUUGGUUUUUGUUUUGCCUCUUCCUGUCACAGGCUUCAGCUGCCACAUGGAUGAGGAAGUCAGGGAGGUAACUGACCAGACCAGCACACCUUCUCCCUGCCCCUGGCUGGCUAGCUGGGACCUUUCCCCCUCUGCCUCUCCAAACCUGAGGCUGAAAGGGGCCUAUGGGGGUGUUCGGGAAUCUGGGAGGUUGCCAAGCCCCAUCCACCAAGGUGGGCCGGUUCUGUCCCUAAGUUGGAGCUCAGGACUGGCUUCAGCCAAGGCAGUGCCCAGAGCCUUUGAGAGACCCCAGGCUGGGGUCGGUGGGGUGGGCCUGGCUCUCUGGGGAAGGCUGCCAUCAGGGAGCGUGGGCUGCCGCACACUCUCCUCCCGGUGUUGACAGUGACGGAUGUGGUCAGGGCAGGACCCAGACAGGGAAGAGCUGAGGUUCCUGGUGGGUCAGUUUGGCUCUUCCCUGCUCUGCUCUGUGGCUGCAAAUACAAACCUGGGGCCCAGCAGGGACAGGCAUCCCCACCUGUCAAAGGCCUACGGACCCAGGGAGGGGGACGCCGUUCCUCACGGCCCUGGUGUCAGAAGCAUGACCGGCCUGCUUUGUCAAGAGGCGGAGGAGGGCGGGAUGCCUGCUGGGCAUGUGGACUCUCAGCUUCCAAGCAGGUCCUGUUGCCCUCCUGCCCUCCAGGUGACAAAGCUGAGGCACUGUUGGGAGUAGCAGUCUGCCCGUCAUCCCUGGCAGUGGGUCAACAUGCAGCCUGGCUCUGGGACCUGGAAUUGGACCUGGGUUAUGCAGCUGGCCUGUGCAGGUGCCAGCCUCGCCUCUCUGGGCCUCCAUCUCCUGAGCCACACAAUGAGGACGAGGCCGGCUCUGCACUGAGAGCAAGGCCGACGGCAGAGGCCAUGUGCCGCAGACCUGGACUCAUCCCCUCACUAUGCAGGCAGGCCCCAGCCCCUAGAAGCUCCUGGAACUUGGAACUCUGGGCAGAAGCCCUCAGAACAGAGCAGCCCAGUUCUGCCUCUUCCAGCUUCCCCAGGAGCCUGCUGCCUCGUCUGCAGUGGCAGGGAAGACCAUGACGCCCCCCACACCCACAUCCAGGCUGCCUUGCAAUCCACACACCUGUCCAUUUCACCUCCAUCCACGUCCCUCUCCCCUGCGGCCACCACGCAGGCCCAGCCACCCCCACCCCUCUGCUGCUGCAGCCUGGAAGGUCGCUGCAUGCUUCUCUAUCCCGGGCAGUCCCGCACCGCUUGGGGAAGCUGGAAGAGUCCAGGUCUGCUGGCACCAGCCGUGAGAUGGAGCAUAAGGGGCAUGUGGCACCCCUGAGCACAGACCCUCCUGGGCUGUCCUGUUACAGAGAGGGGCAGAUCACCCUCCUCACAGCCUCCAGGCCCUCUGGGUCCAGCCGCGUUCCCUGCCCGACUCAUUGUGUGAGUGCCAGGCACGUCCCCCUCCUGGGCACUCACCCUGCCACCCCCAGGCCUCCUAGGGCCAGAGUCUCUGCCCUGGACACGUGUAUUUUCCUACUAACUGCCACUCAUCCUUCUGUCUUGUCUGCCCCGGACAGUCAUGCCUCUGCCAUCUCCCCCUGGCAGGGCACGCUGCACCUUCUGAAUCCCACCGUGGCCCUGGGAAAAUUUCACUUGUCUCUCGGCACACCAAGGCCAGGCAUUCAGGGAUUGCAUCACUUUCCUGAGCUAUGUACCUGCAGCAUCUGGCUCGGGGCUGGGUGUGUCACUGACCCACAACCACUGCUGAAUGAAUGAUGAGUGGAUGAGUGAGUGAUGAGCGGAUGAGUGAGUGAUGAGCGGAUAAGUGAAUGAGCACAGGUGGGUCUCAGGAGGUCCUUCCAGCCCUAGAACUGACUCGGGGGCCUUGGUUAAUGCCAGUGGGUGAUUUUCUGACUCUAAAGGCAGAUGUGGGGAGUGGAGACUCAGCCCUGAAUGCAUGCAGUGACCCAGCACUGAGAGAGGACGGUGGCUCUGGCGGGGUGGCCGCCUGCGAGAUGCUCCCCGGGGCCUGCUGCGGAGAUGAGUAAACAUCAGAGUUUUGUGAUGAGGGCUCUGCCAGGGGAAGCCCACGGUAUCACGGAGAGAAGACAAGGGCAUCCACCACAGGAGGAUGGACAGGGUGGGCAGGUGUGGGCUUCGUCAUCCAUCAUGGCCAGGGCUGGGAGUCCUCAGCGCUUCCAGCUCUGGAGACAGGCCCAGAACCCUGGAAAGAGGAGCUCCCAUCAGCCCACAGGGGGCUGGGCCGGCCAUCCAAGGCAGACAUCCAGGGUCCUUCUAUUUGAACCGAUGGGUAGAUGCUCAGCUGCUCCGGGGGCUGGUCCAGGCUCCAUCCCAGUCCUGGCUGUCCAUGCAGAACAUGGUACCCAGGCCCCAGGACUAGCAGAUAAUCCUUCAAGAGGGUCCAGAAACGGUGUGCCGAGCACAGUUCUCCAUGAGUCAGAGGCCUCUGGACAUGAGCCUAAGGGGCCCACAUUGAAAUAGGACUCUCUAAUCACAGCUGGGCACCAAUCAGGCACCGGCUUCCAUGGCUGAGGCCUGCUGGCUUCUCUCUCUCAGUGAACCGUGCUCCCGUCAGCCUCCGCGCGACAUCCCGCAAGGCUGCAGCCACCUCUCGCUCUGCAUCCAGGAGCAGGAGUGUCCGGGGUGGAGGCUCUGCUGCCCCAUAGGCUGUGGGGCUGUCUGUGCCAGGAGGAAGGACCCCUACCCGCACCUGCUGUGUGCCUGCUCAGGGGUCGAGGCAGCUGCGCAGCUUACAAAGAGGACAGCACCCCCGUCUCAGGCUGCCAGGGCCUUCUGUGAUCUCCUGUCCUUGGGCUCCUCUGCUGGCACCCUCCUGCUCCUCCUGAGCCGUCCUCGUGCCCUUGCCAUCUUUCCUGGAAAGCCUUGCAUCCAUUCAGCACAGCUUCACAGCUUCACCCAGCCCGGGCCUCAUGUGCCCCAGAAACACAGCCUUGAACACAACAGCGGGUUCCCUCUCAGGAGCUUCCCCACCUCCCCCUGGGUCAAGGAGAGGGAGACCAGCAUUGGCGUGCACUGUGUCAGGUGGAGAUCAAUUGGAAGAAAAGCAAAGUGGGGUGGUGGUGGGCAGGGGACCGCAGGGGGUGCUAUCUCAGAGGUUUCUGCAGGGCCGUCUGUGCAGAAGCCCAUUGCUGUCGCUUGUAGCUCAUCGUCCUUGUGGCAGCCCCAUGCCAGUUCUGCAGGCCAAAGAACAAGGUUCAGAGAGGGUGAGCAGCUGGCAAGAGAGCACACAGCAGCUAGUGGCAGGAGCGGAGCCCAGUCUUCCCUCCAACCGAGCCCUUUCCUUCUCCUUAGCUUUGCCCACCGAAGCCCUUCCCAUCUCCUUGCCUAGAGAUGGUUAGGCGUGACGACUGUGUUCAGGAUGACCCUGGCCAGGUGCAAUAAUUACAAGCCUAGGAAAAAUGACAGAAAAUAAACAUUCCAAGAUAUUAGCAAGCUGGCGUGGCUUUCUCUUCUGCUUUACAUUAUUUUUUCCUUACUUUCCAAAUUUUAUGCGGUGAGAAUUUAUUACUUUCAUUACCAGGUGCAAAAAAUAGAAACAAACAAAAAACUCUGUCUGAUCUUUCAGACUAGUUCGAAUGUCUUCUUUUCUAGAACUGGGAUGACCAGGACAUUUGGGCGUGAAAGGGGCCCUACAAGCCUUAACAGAUACUAAAGAACGUCAGACAAGCAGAAUGAGGAUGGCCCCAGGCAAGGUGGACCCCACCCCAGCUGCAGGGAACAGCAAGGCUGCAGGUCAGUGUUGAGUGGCCCUUUACAAAGGACUGUGACCCAGGCUGGGGGCAGUGGCUCACGCUUGUCAUCCCAGCACUUUGGGAGGCUGGAUCGCCUGAGGUCAGGAGUUCGAGACCAGCCUGGCCAACACGGUGAAACCCUGUCUCUACUAAAAAUACAAAAAUUAGCCGGGUGUGGUGGUGCACACUUGUAAUCCCAGCUACUUGGGAGGCUGAGGCAGGAGACUAGCUUGAACCCAGGAGGCGGAGGUUGCAGUGAGCUGAGAUUGCGCCACUGCACUCCAGCCUGGGCAAGAGUGAAACUCUGUCUCAAAUAAUAAAAACAAACAAAGAAACAAAAGCAAACACACACAAAACAAAGGGCCGUGACCCACAUGGACCUGGGACAAGGCUUCGGCUAAGCAAGCCCAAUGUCCAGUGGCUAUGGCCUCAGGAAGGUCAGCAAGGCAAGUUCCCUAUCCCUAAGACCGGGUCUUGAGACAGAAGCAGACAGUAGGCUCAACUCUCUGGAGGGCCCUGGCCAGGGCAACACAGGUCCACGUCCAGGCAAGGUCAUGCUCCCUGCCCCGCUCUGCCCCUUGGAGCAGGCUGUCAGAGGGGCCAAGGACUCCUCUCAGCAGGCUCGGGAGGAAACAGGAUCUCGAGUUCUAUUUUUUAAAUCACAAAAUUAGGGCCAUUUCUGUCUCUCCCUGGUCUGUCCCCUCCGAACCUGGGAGGCCCCUCUCCAGCAGAGGCUGCUUCUGUUCUCUCUCAUUCCAUAAAAACACUCCCGAGCCUUUCUGUUGCUGCAAAGAGAGCUUUGAUUCUUUGCCGAGAAUCUGCACCGCGGGCUCCAAAUGGGAGCGUUUCUCCGGAGAGGAGCAGGAGGAGAAUCAUUUUGUCGACGGCAGGUAAUUAAGUUGCCACGCAGAGAGGGAGCAUGCGUUAUACGAUGAUUAAUCCCAGAGACGGCGAGGACAUUUUUCAUUUUCAAAUCUCUCCUUGGUUGUUAAUGAAUCAUCUCAGCUCCUGGGAGAGAAGUGCUGGUGCUCGCCCUAAGAGCAAGGGAAACUGAGUCGGCUGUGCCCACCGCCCCCGCCACACGGUGCAGAGUGGAAGCAGCCUCGGGAGGGCAAGUGCUGGGAGACCAUGGGCUUUCUCCCCGGGCAUCUCGUCCAUGUGGCUUCCUGUCUCCCCAGCCUCAUCUGGGCAGGAAUUCAGGAAUCAAUAAAAAUGUUAUUUUAAAUAAAAAGAAAGCCACCCUGCUCUGCUUGGCACAGGCUGCCAUUGACCGCCUUCUGCACCUGCUUUUGUUCUGUUUUUCUCAGGUACCUGCUCAUUUCCAGCUCCCAGCCUCCCUCAGAACACAGACUGCCUUGCCAUUUUCUUAGCGAGCGGUUUGCAGCAAAGUGCUAUUUUGCUCUCGAACGCCUUCCUUUCCAAUUGGGACAAACGGCUAUGAAUACGGCACACCCUGUUUUGCAUUCAAACUGUUGGGAAAGUUUUGCGGCUGUAAAUAUCAUGCUCUUGGUGCUCAAGACAGAAUUAUUAUUACUUUUUCCUUAGUUCUUGGAACCAGUGAUAAAUUAAACAUUUCUUUUGCCCCCCCUUGCAGCCGGCAGGCAAUGUGGAGCUGAUUGCUUUGCCUCUGUCCUGACCCAUGUGCCCCAUCGGGAGAGGAACAAGACGACAGUGACUUGCCAGGGGCACAGGCACAUGGAUGGGGAGCAGGUCUAAAUGGGGGAGGGGGCACGUGCAGGGGGGGCUUUCCUGAGAUAGGGCUUCUCUUUGGUGUUUUCCCUGCACAAUCUUCCAAUGAUGUAUAGAGUUUACCCUCAACGCUCAGAGGCUGACAUUUGACAUAGAGGGAAACUGAGGCACAAUGGAGGUCUCCAGAAGAUUCUGUCCCCACACACUGUUCUCUUUCCAUCGUCUGCUCUGGGUCAGAUCCUGGGAAGUGGUGUUUUUCCUCUGGGGCGGGCGCUGGGCGUGUGGAGGUGGGAAAGCCUCACUCCUGGGCUCUGCCAGGUGGAAACGGAGGGCGCUGUGCCUCUUGGACUAAAAGGGUGAGCCUGGCAGGUGCACUGGCCUGACUCGCGUUCCUGCUUCGAGGUCCUGAGCACCUCCUCGGAGUCUCAGUUUCCUCACCUGCAAAUGAUCUUGAAGAUGUUCAAAUGCCUUCUUCCCUCCCGAGGUCCUGAAAAUGGCUGGGGAGGUCCGGGGGGGAGGAUUACGUGAGGCACACGGGAUCCGCCGUGACUCAGGCCACAGGGUCCGCUGGGCACCCCGCCCAGACUGCCCCCCACCAAGAGCUGCCAUGCACAGGUGGGUGGUGGAGGCUCCAGCCCCGCUCAAGCCUGCAGGCACACUUUCUCAUCGACGGACCCCAACACAUCCCUGUGUGUGGGCAGGGCUGGCAGGGGAUUCACGCCCACCUGCCCCGCAGCACCCCGCCGUUCUGCCUCCACCCUGUCUGCCUCGCUCAAGUGCACGAUGGCCAGGUGGAUGGAUGACCCUCCCAACCUCACCUCCCAGGUUUCCCUGAGGGAACGCAGCCCCUACUGGAUCCUACUGGACCUGGGUUCUGAGAUGACCCUUCCACAUGAAGAAAGAGAGUCCAGGGCUGGUGGGGGCAUCGCAGCUUCCUGGGGCCCUGCAGGAGACGGAAGAAGCCAGGGUGCUCAUCACACAGGCCUCCAGCUUUCUCCAGGGGCUGGACCUGGGGACCAGCCUGGGGUAUGGGUUCCUUCCUCUCCCCAUCCCCAGCCUGCCAGCCCCUCCCGGAUGGAGGUGGGAGUAAGAUGCCCCCCCGCUGGAGAGCCUUUUUCUGUAGCUGUGCAGGGGUGGGAGUAGGGGAGACAGGGCUUUGUCUAAUAAGAGGAAUCCAUCAAGUUUGCUAAACCACUUUCCCUCUGGAGCCAUGCGGCUCCUCUCCAGGGAGCUUGGCCUGGCCAGGCCUGCAAGCGGUGCCUCCUCCCAGCCCCACCCUGCCUUUUGUCUUUGUCUCUGACAUCUGCGUUCCUUCUGAGUGUGCUUUGCUUCUUUCUGCUGCUCGAUGGCUAAUAGGAUUGAGCGGGAAGGCGCCAGGAGAGCCGGCAGCCCGGCCUGGGAGGGGCUCUCACUCUUCCUCUGCCAGAAGCCUUAUCGAGCGCAGGGUGUUUGACUUCAGAAACACAUCCCCACGGCUUUCCUUUCCGCCUUCCUUCUGGGACUGAUUUGUUUACUUCUUUCAGAGGUUCGCCGUCCCUCUUUCUGCAGGGGUUUGCUGGAUCACAGGUCCCCAGUGCCCCGGACAUAGUGUGUGAGGAAUGCGGGUAUGAGAGAUACUAACAUAGGCAAAGUCGGCUCAUCUCAUCCAACCUCACCACCCUGUGCAUUGCAACCCCACAGUGCAAUGUAAAGAUGGGGAAACAGGCCCAGAGACUCAAGAGAAAUGAAACGAGUGGAGAUUGAGACUGAACUGGACCGGGAUCCGGGCCCCACAGCUGGGCUUGUCCCGAGGCUGUGUGCUGCCCCCGGAGCUCCUUGGAUGGAGAAGCGCUCCCUGCCCCUCCCUGCUCCAUGCCUGGCUUAGACACACGGCGGCCCUGCUCAUGCCUGAAAUUCCACCCUUAGCCACCCUCCCCUGUUUGGCAUUGCCCUCGCACCCCCUCUCGAGGGACACAGAAACCCCGCGUGUGGGUGUCCUCACUGCAGGUCUCCCUACCUGGCAGGCGGGGAAUGUUUUGGGGCAGGUGGUGGGCAAUGGAGGAGAAACAGUAAGCAGGGAUUUCAGGAAGAAGAAAACGCCAGCAAGGUAAGCAGGUCAACAAAACCUCACCUGUGUCAGCUUGCACACCUUCUGUCACCAGAAAGCCUGACCUUAACCUUGCACUUGUCAGAUCUGAUCCUGGUCCUCAAAGAGCAUGGAGACCCUCUUUAUACAAAUGGGAAUACUGAGGUAUGCAGUUCGAGAGGAUUGACCGAGGCCAUUUGGCUGGUUGAAGGUGGGUAAAGUCCUGGGUUCCUAAUUUCUGCCAGGAGACCCUUGCUCCAUUCUCUUCCCAGGGCAGAACCACACUUGGUCCUGGGGAAAGCCACCUGGAGAGCGGAGGGCAGAGGGUGGAGGGCAGAGGGCGGAGGGCAGAGGGCAGAGGGCAAAGGGCAGAGGGCAGAGGGUGGCGCGGAGGGUGGGGAAGCACCCCUGUCACCUCUGCCCAUGCAGCCUACCCCGUCCCCAAUUCACGAGACAGUUAACUUGGUUCUUGCCCUGAGCCAGGCCCUGGCCCGGAGCCUGGGGCCACAGGUGCCCUCAAAUGCACAUGGGACUCAGGCUCAUCAGCAGUGGCCUCAUGGCAGGAGGGUGGUCACUGUGGGCUGGGGGAGGCUGUGAGGCUCCUCUGGCAGCUCCACCUGCGAAAGCCAAGUCGAAGAGUGAGUUGAGUGUGUGCUGGCCCAUCUGCCCCUUUCCCUCUCCGCUCAGGGCCCAGAGCCUCCCAAACAGGCAGCUGUGACUCUGAUGAAGCCACCUGGUGCUGGGGGUGUGGGGUGGGGUUGGGGACAGCAGGGGAAGCCCACUACUUGGUAGUCCCAAAUGUCACAGUCUGUGACCCAUGAAGGAUGGCUGGGCCACUCCUUGGGACAGGGUUACACCAGACACACACACAGAUGUAUUCACACCAGACACACACACACAGACACAUUCACACCAGACACACAGACACAUUAACACCAAAAACACACAGGUACAUUCACACCAGACACACACACACAGACACAUUCACACCAGACACACACAAAGACCAUUCACAGCAGACACACACACAAAGACACAUUCAGACCAGACACACACACAGACACAUUCACACCAAAAACACACAGGCACAUUCACACCACACACACACACAAAGACACAUUUACACCAGAUACACACAGACCAUUCACUUCAGACAGACACACACACAUUCACACCAGCCACACACAGACACAUUCAAACCAGACACAGAUACAUUCACAUCAGGCACACACACACAAAGACACAUUCACACCAGACACAGACACAAACCAUUCACACCAGACACAUACACAUUCACACCAGACACACACAAAGACCAUUCACACCAGACACACACACAUUCACACCAGACACACACAGACCAUUCACACCAGACAUACAGACUAUUCACACCAGACACACACACAUUCACACCAGACACACAGACACAUUCACACCAGACACACACAAAGAGACAUUUACACCAGAUACACACACACAGACCAUUCACUUUAGACAGAGACCAUUCACACCAGACACACACACAUUCACACCAGACACACACAGACCAUUCACACCAGACACACACACAUUCACACCAGUAACACACACAGACACAUUCACACCAGACACACACAAAGAUACAUUUACACCAGAUACACACACAGACCAUUCACUUCAGACAGACACAGAUACAUUCACCCCAGACACACACACAAAGACACAUUCACACAGACACAGGCAAAGACACAUUCACACCAGACACACACACAGACACAGGCACACCCCUGCACACAGCCACUGUGCUCAUGCAUAGCCGGGUACACCUGCUUGCACACUCACACUCGCUCACCCCCACACCCCCCCCCCCGCUUCCUCACCCACUUUCUCUCCUGGUCCUGCAGUGCUUGUUCCCACUAGGUCCCUGGGGGGCCAGGGAGAGCCAGCCAGGCCCGCCACCAUUCUCUCCCCGCAGAGCGAUGCUGCGUGUCCAGAGCAGCGGGUGUGGGAGGCAGAGCCUGGAGCUCCCAGAGCCGGCGGCCCACGGCCUCGCCUCCAGCCAGGAGGGUGCGGAAUUCUCCCCCACCCAGCAGAGGCUCUGGCCAUCUGUCUCCAAGGAUGCGGGGGAGCGGACCGGCUGUGCCGCUCUAGGGCUGCUCCGCCUGACAGACAGCAGUGUCGACCACCCAUGUUUGCUGCACAGACUCUAGCUUCCACACCCCUCCCCACCCCAGCAGCCUGGGGAAGGAAGGCUGGAGGUCCCUGCAUGACGGGUGAGGAGAGAGGACAGGAGCCCGGUGCUCUGAACACCGCCCCAGCCCAGCUGCACGUCAGGACCCCGCACUGGCCUCUUACAUUGAGAAGCCAAGACCCACCCAAAACCCAGCUAUCAAAGUCUCUGGGGACAGCACCAGCAGGGCAGAGGGCGUUGGUUCCCUUAGAAUGUGCUAGAAGGCUCAUCCCUGCAGGAGGUGCCCCUGCAGGCAUCCUUGCCCCCACACUGCCUGGUGCUGCCCACCUGCUCACUUGCAGGUGACCCUAGUUUCUCAGUGGCUCGGCAGCCUCGCGGGCUGUUGUAACACUGACACCACGUCUGUGAGAUCAUUGGCUUGGAAGAUUCAGCUCAGAAUUGGAUAGAAGGGCCCUGCCCUGCCAGGCACAGCUGCCGGCCCUUGUCACCUGCAGCUGCAUGAGAAACUAAGGCUCAAACCAAAUCCUUCUGGACAGAAAAGCAGGUCCCCCUCCACUACCCCUUCGUCUGGGCUCUCGGUCAGCGGGGUCAGGGUGGCCGGGACAGUCACUCUCAUUUCCAGAGGAGGCGAGAGGCAGAUGAAGGCCAUGGACAGCAAGCCAUGGGGCCACAGCACAGCCUCAGGUCGUUGCUGACACACCUGCGCCUCCCACAGCCCUCCCCAGGAAAGCCGCGGCAGAGCUCACCCCACUCCCAGGGUGCUCACCUGGGACCUCCUCACCUCUGCACCUGCCCUGGGUAUCCUCAGCCGUGACCCUGGCCUGGCAGUGCCGGCGGACAGGUUGCAACCAGCCCAGCUCCCCAGGGGUGAGAGGGGCCCAUCACCGGCCACCCACAGGCAUCCCUGGGUCUGCUUUUUGGAGCAGUGUCCGGGGUUCCCUUCAUAUCCUUUAUAUCUAUGUGAACCUGACCGGCACACUCACUCCAGGCCCAGGUGUUCUGUAAACACUGAACACCAUGCUGUUAACCAAGGUUACGUUAAAAAGUGACUAUGUGGCCAGGAAAUAGAUUUUGUAUAGUUAUGUGCUGUUAGGAUAGAUACGGGUUUUCGUCUGCGGCUCCUGGCUUAUAACUCCCAUAGCACUUGUUCCCAUUUGCGUUAGAAUGUUGGGGGUGUUGAGCCUCAUGGGCAGCCUCUGCCUUCUCCUGCCCUCCUUUCACCUGCCCCAAGGCGGCACCCUAACUUUCUCCUGCCUUUCGGAUUGUGGGUCUUAAGACCCUCCCAUGAGAGGGUCCCAUCCUAUGCCAUGGGGGAAGGAAUGCUGACAUCAUGAAGCUUCCAUAAAAUCCCAAGAGGACUCGGUUCAGUGCGGUUCCUGGAGUGUGGCGCGCCCAGCAAGGAUGUGGGAGCUCUGCGUCCCUUCCUCCCACUUCGGUCUACGCAUCUCUUCAUCUGCAAUAUUCUUUUUCAUUAAUCUAUAAAUGUGUUUGCCUGAGCUCUGCGAGCUGCUCCAGCAAAUUAAUAGAAUUGGAAAGAGGGGGUCAUGGGAAUGCCAACCUGAAGGCGGCCAGUCAGAAGUUCCAGGGGCCCAGACUUGCGGCUGGUGUGUGUAGGGGCAGCCUUGGCGGGGGAGCAUCACAGAAGUCUUCUCCUGUGUUGAUGAUUAUUGAGGUGUGAGAGUAGAGGAGAAACACAGUUCAGGUGAGAGGCUUCCCUGCACAAGUUACCAACCAUAUGACCUGGCACAACUUUCCCAACCUGUGCCCCUUCCUCGCCUACUGGGGGGUAAUGAGAUCAAUGCCGUAGCCUGAGCAAGAGCCCAGAACGGGGCUGGGUGGGUGGGCAAACCUCGAGAAACGUGAGCUCGUAUGUGAGGCAUAUGACAGGCCGAACAGUGUGCCAUGUCCGUGGUGCCAUGCCCCAGCGUGGCUUUGAGCGCAGUGACUCUCUUAGAUUUCUGAUUGUAAAGGCCCUGUGUGCUGGGUAAAGAGUUUGGAGAAAUGCAGAAAAUUUAAAGAACAUGAAGAACUGCCCAGAAAUAACAACUGUGAACGUUUUGGAGGCCUCUCGUCCUUUCCUGUGUACCUCGUGGCACAGCUACACUGUGCCCUGCCUGGGGUCCCAGAACAUGACAGCAUCCACUGCCACCCUGACUCAUGCCUGUCCUCAGCUGGGCUCCUGCGCCAACCACAACCCCACUCCCCCCUGAAUGACAGCCAGUCUGUCAGGAUAUUCCUCCUCCGCUCAGGGCAGCCCCACUGCCGAGUCCCCAGCAUGCAUUGACUUGGGUACUCCCUACCUUGAGUCAACCAUUAGGCCCAUCACGCUGAUGCAGAGCAGGGAGCCCCAAAGUGGGGCUGGGCCCCCAAGGAUUCUUUACUUCACCCAGGAGAGACUUCAAGGGCAAGCCCCUGGUGGGGUGGGGCUUUAUUGACGAGGCAGUGUUGCAGCUCCGUGACUGUCCCUACAGAGCAGGACUACCCCACAGGCAGUGCGCUGAGAGGAGCAGCUCAGAGCAGUUGUGCAGUCACAUCUAUAUCUACUUUUAAUUACAAGCAGAUUAAGGGGUGGUUUAUGCAGAAAUUUCUAGAUCCUGGGGUUAUUGCCAUGGAAAGAGGAGGUAACGCCCAGGUGUUGCCAUGGCAGCGGUCAACUCACACUGGUGGGCGUGUCUUAUGGAAAGGUGCUUCCACCCCAUCCCUGUUAUAGCUGGUCCUCAAUUUGGUCCAGCAUCUGAGCCCCGCCUCUGGAGUAGAGUGCCACCUCUCCACUGCAAUGUGGGUGGGGACAGAUCCCCUGGGGCACCUAGCUGAAAGUCACAUCCUGCCGGAAGAGCUAAGACCACACCUGUCUGUCUGAUUUCUGAAGCUGGGCUCUCAUCCCUUGGAUCUCUGGCUCCCUUCUUGUCCUAGAGGCGAAGGGGAAGAGCUAAAUAUUUCGUGACCUUUAGGCCAUACUUGUAGAGGGGUGUGCAGGCGGGAGGAACUGAGGCCAGGUUCCGACUCUGGCUGGAGGCCUACCCAGGCCCCUGAGGUUUCUCCAGGGUCAACCCCAUGGCCCACUGGCAGCUGAGUCACACAGAGUGAUUGCUGGUCAUGCCCUUGAUUGAGAACGAUGCACUCAGAGCGUCCUCCGCUCAUAAAUAGCAGGAAGCAAAGUACAUUACGAGAGCAUAUGGUACCUCUAGGCCAUUUCUGCCUCUGGCCCCGUCACUGCCACAGUGGCUGAAACUCAUCUUCUGUUCUGACAGGUUUCCCUAGAAACCCAUCAAUUUAUAGUGUCUAUAGCUGGCCUUUUGGAGGCCCCAGACCAAACUGUGUUAGAAAACAACAGCAACAACAAAACUCCUAUUUCUCCAAAUGGCCCUGGAAGAUGCACCGGCUGUGCCCUCAAGACGCUGUGUGUGGGGCAUCCGCCUCCCUGGGCGCGUGGAGCUGGCUGAUGGCCAGGGUGUAAGGGUGCAUACUGGGCAAGGACGGGCUGAGGCAGUUGGCAAGGUCUGCAUCACCUCCACCCAUCCGUGGUCCCUGGUCAUGAAGGAUACGCCCAUCCAUCCACCUUUCUGAAACUGUUGUCAACGCACUCUGAAUUCAGGAAUGCUCUCCUCUCUCUUCCUUCUCCCCUUGGCAGACUCAGGGCGGAAAUGGUAGCUGACGUUUUCCCCAAGAGCGAGGACAAGGAAUGACCAAAAGAUCAUCAUCCCAGGGGCUUUGGGAAUGUGGGCCCUGCUGCAUUUCCUUCAGCAGAAGGGUUUCUUUCCUUCAGUUUCCAUCAGCUUUCAGGGAGGACAAAGGUCCCUUUUGCUAACUGAUCUCUGUCUCACCCUCUGCAAACCCAUCCUAUAGGCUGCAGUCAUGGCCCCACUUGGGAGUCCGCCUCCUUUCUCUCACUCCUGACUUCCCAAAACUCUGGCUGGUUGUGUGCUCCAGGGAACUUUCUAGGGUGAUGGCAAUAUGCCAUAAUUUGGAGUUUUAGGGUGGUAGUUACGUGGGUGCCUACAAUUGUUAAAAUUUACUAAAUUAAGAUCUGUGCAUCAUAUUGUGUUAAAUUGUAUCUCAAACAGAAAAGGACGAGAGUGCACCUUGUGGAGGGCAAAUCUGUGCCGCACCCCCCAGCCCCGCCGGUGCUCUGGGGUUGGCCUCAGCUCAUGCCCUGCAAGUCCUCGCCUGCAGACGCAGCUUGCUUUGCUCAGCACGCUCAUGCGUGUAUGCCACGGGUCAGUUGAGAUCUGGACCAUGGGUAGGUACAGAAUCUUUCUUGGUUAUUGUGAUGGUUUUAACAGCUUUGUUGAGCUGUAAUCUGCCUACUAUCGAAUUUCCCCAUUUAAAAUACACAACUCAAUGCUUUUUAGUAACUGUCUCCACGAGCUGUGCAACCAUCAGCACAGUCUAAUGUGAGAACAUUUUCAUUGUCCCUUCCCAAAGAAGGCCUGUAUUAAUUAGCAGUCAUUCCCCGAUCCCUCACCUCCUCUAGGUCUUACCUGACCCCAGGCCAGCACCAAUCUCCUGUCUGUCUCUAUGAAUUUGCUGAUUCUGGACAUUUUGUAUAAAUGGAAUCAGACAACGGAUGCUCUUAGUGACUGGCUUCUCCACUUGGCAGAAUGUGUUCAAGCCUCUUCCAUGUUGCAGCACACAAUUGUACUUCAUCCUUUUUUGUUGCUGCAUAAUACUCCAUGGUUGCUGAAUACUAUUCCAUGGUAUUACUUGUCAGUUGGUAGACAUUUGGGUUGUUUCUACUUUUUGGCUGUUAAGAUCUAAUGCUGCUAUGAAAUUCAUGUACAAGUUUUUAUGUGAACAUGUUUCCAGUUUUUGUGAGCAUAUACCUAGGGGUGCAAUUGCUGGGUCAUAUGGUAACUGAAUAAUUAAUCUUUUGAUGAACUGCCAGGCUGUUUUCAAAUCAACUGCAUGAUUUUACAUCCCACCAGCAGCAUAUGAAAGUUCCAAUUUCUCUACAUCCUUGCCAACACUUGUUAUUAUCUGUCUUCAUGACUACAGCCAUGCUAAUGGAUGUGAAGUGGUAUCUUACUGUGAUUUUGAUUUGCAUUUCCCUGAUGGCUAAUGCAGCUGAGCAUCUUUUCAUGUGCUUAUUGGCCAGUUGUGUAUCUUCUUUGGAGAAAUGUCUAUUCAAGUCUUUUGCCCCUUUUUAAAAAAUUGAGUUCUCUGUCUUUUAAUUAUUGCAUAGUGAGUUCCUUAUUAUUAUUAUUAUUAUUAUUAUUAUUCUUUUAUUUUAUUUUUAUGAGAUGGAGUCUCACUCUGUCACCAGGCUGGAGUGCAAUGGCUUGAUCUUGGCUCACUGCAACCUCCACCUCCCAGGUUCAAGCAAUUCUCCUGCCUCAGCCUCCCAAAUAGCUGGGACUGCAGGUGCACACCACCAUGCCCAGCUAAUUUUUGUAUUUUUAGUAGAGACAGGGUUUCACCAUGUUGGCCAGAAUGGUCUCAAUCUUGUCAAGAUCAGGAUCAGGUGAUCCUCCUGCCUCGGCCUCCCAAAGUGCUGGGAUUACAGGCAUGAGCCACUGUGCCCAGCUGUGAGUUCUUUAUUCUAGAUACAAGUCACUUAUCAGAUGGAUGAUAUAUAACGAUUUUCUCCCAUUUUGUCAGUUGUCUUUUUAAUUUAUUGUGUCUUGAAGCACAAAAGCUUUUAAUUUUAAUGAAGUCUAAUUCAUCUGUCUUUUCUUUUGUUCCUUGAGCUUUUGAUUUCAUAUCUAAGAAGCUGUUGAGUAACACAAGGUCACAAAGAUUUAUGCCUGUUUUUUUCUAAGAGCUUUUAUAGUUUUAGCUCUUACAUUUAAAUCUUUGAUCCAUGUUUUUUUUUUUUUUUUUUUUUUUUUUUUUUUUUUUUUGAGACAGAGUCUUACUCUGUCACCCAGGCUGGAGUGCAGUGGCAUGAUCUUGGUUCACUGCAACCUUCACCUCCCUGGUUCAAAAGAUUCUCCUGCCUCAGACUCCCAAGUAGCUGGGACUACAGGCACAUGCCACCAUGCCCAGAUAAGUUUUGAAUUUUUACUAGAGACAGAGUUUCGGCAUGUUGGCCAGGCUGAUCUUGAACUCCUGACCUUAGGUGAUCUGCCCCCCUUGGCCUCCCAAAGUGCUGGGAUUAUAGGCAUGAGCCACUGUGCCUGGCCUAAUCUUUGAUUCAUUUGAAUUAGUUUUUUAUAUGUGGAUAAUUUUUGAAUAUGCAUAUGGAUAUUCUGUUAUUCCAACGCCAUUUGUUGAAAAGGCUAUUUUUCCCUAUUGAAUGGUCUUGGCACCCUUAUCAAAAAUCAAUAGGCCAUAGAUGUGAGGGUUUAUUGGUUUAUUUCUGGACUCUCAGUUCUAUUCCAUUGAUCCAUAUGUCUAUUCUUAUGCCAAUAAACACUAUCUUUAUUGUUGCCUUAUAGUGGGUUUUGAAAUCAGGAAGUCUGAGUCCUUCAACUUUGUUCUAUUCAAGAAUAUUUUGGCUGCUCUGGAUCUCUUGAGUUUCUGUACUAAUUUUAUGAUCAGCUUCUUUAUUUCUACCAAAAAAGUCAGGCAGAAUUUCGAUAGGGAUUACACCAAAUCUGUAGGUAAAUGUGGGGGCGUACCACCAUCUUAACAACAGCAAGUCAUGCCCUUCAAGAAUGUGGGAUAUCUUUGUGUUUAUCUAGGUCUUUAAACAUUUCUGUUAACAACCUUUUGUAGCUUUCAGUGUGCAAGCCUUGGGCUUCUUUUGUUAAAUUUAUCCCUAGGUAUAUAUGCAAUUAUAAGUGGAAAUUUCUUUAAAUUUCAUUUUUGGCUUUUUCAUCACAAGUGUGUAGAAAUAAAAUUGAUUUUUGUAUAUUAAUCUUAUAUCCUGCCACAUUGCCGAACUUGUUUAUUUGUUCUAAGAGUAUUUUUCAUGGAUUUCUUAGGAAGAUCAUUUCAUUUGCAAAUUGAGAUUGUUUUUCCUUUCCUAUGUGGAUAUCUUUUCUUUUUCCUGACUAGGUUUUGCUAGAACCCUAUUGUUGAAUAGAAGUGGGGAGAAGGGACAUCCUCGUCAUGUUUCUGAUCAGAGGUAGAAAGCUUUUUCAGUCCUUCUGAAUUAAGUAUGAAGUUAGCUGUGGGCAUCACGAGCACUCUGAGUAUUUUUAGACGGUGCCAAAGCAAAGCCCUCCUCCGUUCUCAGCAGACCCGUGAACAGCCAUGAACCCCAGUGUCCUUUGCUUUCUCUUGUUCCUUCAUGCUCGCCUUCCACCCUCCUCUGUGCUGACCCCUCCAGGCUGCAAAUAAAACCCACCAGCUGCUUCCUAUGCUACUGUCAAUGCAUCAGCUAAAGUUGGAAUCUCAGCACCAAACCCGAGCCCUUUGUGCCUAAGGCCCCGUGGCACAAUAACCUCCAACACAGUCGUUAGGGUGAGACCUUAGGAGUGAACAACCCCUAUGCAAAUGCCCAAAAAUGUAUUCAGAUGUCACCUAUGUUUGUACCUGUAGCUGUCACAAAUCGUUUAGAAGUGUGCCAUUGGGUGGACGGCUGGAUGGAUGAAGAUAGGGGACGAUUUCUGAUUUAACAACCACCAAGUGUCAGGAGAGAGAAACACAGUCUGCGAGUAGCACUGACUCUGGCAGAGAUUUUAUAACAAUUCAUGCAAAGAUUAUUUAUUCAAUAAAUAUUUAUUGAGCUCCUAUUAUGCACUUGGCACUGGGGAAAAACAAUGAAGAAGACAUAGAAAUCCUGUCCUCUGGCACCUAAGCCUGGUGGGUUCAGGGAGAUGCAUUUGGUUGCCCUGCCAGGGCCUGGGCUUGAGGAGGCCAAGCCAUCUCUCCUAGUCAUCUGAGCCAGAACUUGGCAAACUUCUCCCCAGCUGAGUGAGUGUGUCCAGAAGACUUGCAUUACCAGGGACCCCACCAUGCAGCCAUGGCUUAGAGUGCCCUGGAGUCUGAGUUCAGGUCCCGCAGUUCAGAGCAGAGGGAAGGCAGCUGGCAGAGUAAGGAAGUAAGGAGAAUCCAUGCUCACCCUUGUCUCCCACUAUGUGACCUUGGGCCUGGGGCUGGCAUGGCAGGUGCUACAGCCAGACAAUAGAGGCUCCAAACCCAAGUUUCUGUCACUGUGGGAGCUACCAUGUCAGAGGAAGGUGAUGAUUAAUGCACAAAUAUGUAUUUUCUCCAUCAGUCUGGUCUUUAACCAGUCUCUAGAUUCAUAAUACCCUAUCCAGGACAGGGUUUUCAGAUGGAGCAUCAAUAAUGCAGGUGCACACACAAAUUAUGAAUGAGUUUGAUCCUGGAGCAGUGAUAAGUGAGACUUUCUUGGAAGGCAGGGCUCAGCUGACAGCUGUGGGCCCUGCAGUGACUCCUAUCUACACUCUGGAGGGCUCCGGAAACCUCUAGCUCUGCGCCCCCUCCUCUGAUGCAGUCCACAUUGCAGAAUGGCAGGCUCUCCUGUCCCUCUGGCUCAGCUUGUCCCAGCUUGGCCAGUCAGCCAGGGGCUACCGGGUGCUUCUGUGCCAUGGUAGCAUCUCUCCUCCCCUUGGCCUUUGCUGUGGAAGGAGCUACCUGGAGGAGAUUGUGGCCUGGGCCAGGGACAUCUGUGCCAUCACCCUGGCAGGAGGUGAGGAGGCAGUAAAAGGGCAGCCCAGACUGGCAAGAGAGGGGCUGCCCACUUCGGGGGCAUCACACCUACAGGAGGCAUGUCCUCCAGCACGUGGUCUUCACGCUGCCCCCCGACUUGGACCUCCUUUUAAACUGUACCACACUGGGAAGUCCUUCACCACGGUGGGGCUCACCCUCACCACUGGUCCAUGGCAAGGUGGAAUAAUACUUCCUGAGCUCCUUUUCCCCUCCAACAACUUCAGAGAAUGAACAAGAAAGAGUCUAGAAGAUGCAGCUGGAGGUGCCAUUUUUCCUGGCAUGGUGUUAAAAAUUUUAAAUGGGGCUGCAGUAGCCUUUCCAUCUGUGUGUGUCUCUAGCUGUGUGUUUAUCUGUUCACGUGUGUUGUGUGUAUGUGUGUGUCUCUGUGCACGUGUGUCUCUGGGUUUCUAGGUAUGUAUGUCCAUGUGUAUUCACGUGUGUGCAUGUGUUUCUGUGUAUUUGUGUGCAUAUGUAUGUGUCGAUGUGUGUGUGUAUGUGUGUGUCUCUGUGCACGUGUGUCUCUGGGUUUCUAGGUAUGUAUGUCCAUGUGUAUUCAUGUGUGUGCAUGUGUUUCUGUGUAUUUGUGUGCAUAUGUAUGUGUCGAUGUGUGUGUGUAUGUGUGUGUCUAUGUCCCUGUGUGUGUCUGUGUCUAUUUCUGUGUAUGUGUCUGUGUGUGUAUCUGUGUCUGCAUCUCUUUGUGUGUGUGUAUCUCUCUGUAUGUGUCUGUGUAUAUCUGUGUGUGUAUCUCUGUGUGUAUUUCGGUGUCCGUGUGCAUGUGUGUCUGUGUGUGUUUCUGUGUGUGUCUGCAUGUGUAUCUCUGUUUGUAUGUGUAUUUCUGCGUGUCUGUGUGUAUCUCUGUGUGUAUUUGUGUGUAUUUCUGUGUGUCUGUGUGCAUGUGUGUCUGUGUGUCUUUCUGUGUGUGUCUGUGUCAUGUUUGUGUGCAUUUGUGUCUGUGUGUAUUUCUGUGUGUGUUUGUGUCUGUGUGAAUGUGUGUCUGUGUGCAUUUGUGUCUGUGUGCAUUUGUGUCUGUGUGUAUUUCUGUGUGUCUGUGUGCAUUUAUGUCUGCGUGUAUUACUGUGUGUGUCUGUGUCUAUGUCAUGUUUGUGUGCAUUUGUGUCUGUAUUUCUCUGUGUGUUUGUGUCUGUGUCAUGUGUGUCUGUGUGCAUUUGUGUCUGUGUGUAUUUCUGUGUGUGUCUGUGUGUGUUUGUGCAUGUGCACACAUGGGUGCUCCAGCCACCGAGCCCAGCCCUCGGGGCACAGAACCCUCUGGGCACAGGGGCUUGGUCUCUGCUUCCGAAACGGCACCGCCAAUGUCUGUGAGUUUCGUGGGUGUCCCUGUGUGAUCCCCUCACUGGAAAGUCUGGCUGGCUACAGACAUUGCUGCUAUUCUCCUGGCAACUGCUGCAAACCACAAAGAGCUUCUUUCUUAUCCUUUGGGAGCAGGGGAACAAGGCUUCACUAUAAGGGGAUUAGGUUUGUAUUAGGCUUUGAUCAGAGAGGCAGAACCACCAGGAAAUGUGGCUGAGGGAUUUAUUGUAGGAUUUGCCCAUGUUUGAUAAGUCAAAGAAGGCUCUUGCUUCUGUGCCUGGUGUGGCAGCCUAGGGUCAGAAGAGCAGGUGGUGGGGCAGGAGAGCUGCAUGUCAGGUUGGGCAGCAGGAGCGCCCUGGAAACUGCCGGGUCGGAUGUCCUCUGCAAGGCAGUCUCCCUGUUGCUGUCCCCAGCUUUAAUUCUGGGAUCCCACAGGAGAAGAUGGGGCCCUUCAUCAGGUGCUAAAUGUCACACCUGUCCUGGGAGUUAAAGAACUCAUGGAAGACUAUGGCAGGAACAGGGCUGCUGUGGGUCCCCUGCUGCACACUGGCAAGGUGCCUGCCCACAGGUGACAGCAUGCAGGGCUGCAACAGCUCCAACCUUCUGGGCACAAAAAGAACAUGGCCACUGCUUCCCGCCUUCCCAAUUCUGCACCAUGCCUCUUGGGGCCAAACUGACCAGGGGCUAUGUAGGAAAGGGCAUUCUGGGCAGUACAGUUCUGCUUGGGUGGGCUGAUGCAAUAGAAACCCACCACGGUCUGCCCCUUGUCAACCUGGCACCAUAUAUGACUCACUUAGACACACUUAAUGCCUGAAUAAAGACAACAGCAAAAUCCUUGCUUAUGCCUAGCAUGAAGCAUGAUCCUCUGAACAACUGAAAACACACUCUGCCCAGAAGAGGAUACAAAACCCCUUCCUCCACCCCUGGGUGACAUCUCUUCCUCCUACAGCUAAGUCUCACACCCUUUCUGAUAUCCUGUGGCCUAAACGCCAAGUAUAUUUGUUAUCUAUUGCUCUAUAAAAAAUCACCCCAAAAUCCAGAGGCCUAAAACAAUAAAUGUGCAUGAUCUCACCUCUUCUGUGGACAAGAGUCUGGGCAUCGCUAAACUGGCUGCCUGUGGCUCACAGUUCCUCGCUAGGCCUCAGUGAAGCUUCCAGCCAAGGCAGUGAUCUCAUCUGAAGACUGGACUGGGAUGGUAUCAUCUUCCACGCUUGCGUGCAUGGCUGUUGGUUUGUGUCAGCAGCUUUCUGCCAUGCAGGCCACUCUGUGGGGCUACUCAUGAUGUGGCAGCCUGCUUCUUUCAGAAAAAGAGCUGCAAAAGAGAGAGAAAGCAAGAUACUGCAUGCAAGAUGGAAGUCAUGGUCUUUUUGUGACUUAACCUCUAAUCUUGGAAGUGAUAACCCUUCGCUUUUGUUGUAUUCUGUCCAUUCUUUGGAUUGAGGUACUAUGUCCAGCCCACAUUCCAGGGGAGGGGAUUACACAGGGCCAUAGAUACAGAGAGGAGGGGUCAUGGGCCCAUCUUAGAGGCCGCCCAGCCUGCUGAGAGAGAAGGUCACUACUAUCAAUGCAACGUAUGUUGGAUGCAGAGAAAUGGAAGAGGGAGGAGAAGUGUGGUUCACAUCUACUGACAGAUUCACAGCUAAAUACGGAAUAAGAACUUGUGACUGUUACACCUCAUGUCUCUACCUGGUCAUGCGGCCAUAGCUGUCCCAUAACUACCCUCCCUCGUGACUGUCCAUAGUCCCUGUGCCCUAGCAAGGCCCUCGGAGGGUCGUGCUUCCUUGUUUGGUGGGGUGACCCAAAUCUUCAUUCCCAAAGGAUCUGAACGUCUGAAACCUGCUACCAUUUUGGGUCAUUGUUGACCAUUUCAAUGUGGUUCAUAAUCAUCCUGGAGAGAAGGCAGGUGCCUCGGGGCCCAGGUAGUGGGACUUCAGGAGCCUGUGUGCUGCCCUGGGGCCUCUGGGUAGAGUGUGGCCUGGCCUCAGGUGCCCUGGGGGGUCUUGGAGUUGGGUCAGUAGAGGGUCUGAGUCACAGCCACCCCGUCCUUCUGGCCCAUCCUCCCAAGACCAUCUCUGGAAGGUUUUCCCCUGGUGGGUGUCAGAUGGGACAUCCCUGAGGAAGACCUGGCUCCAGGUGGAGGCGCCCCACGCCACCUUGGUUGUGGCGGCUGCCAGUCCUGGCCACAGCCCCAACCCCUAUGAGGCACCAGCAUCCUCUUUGGUAUCCACAGAGGUGGCAGGAAUCUGUCCAUCCACACCUUCAUCCACUCAUUAAGCAAAUGCGCGCUGGGGCUGACUUCUCAAACUGUGAAAAAGCCACGUGGGGCUCUGCCGUGGUGGGGCUGCCACCCCAGGGGACAGGACAACCCACCCUUGAACACAUACUAUGUGGGUCCAUUUCAAAUUGCAACCAAGGCCCUGGACAAAACAAAGCGAGGUGGCUCCAGAGCAUCACUGCCAGGAGGGGCCUCCUUCGAUGGGGGCAGCAAGGUGCUCUCCAAGGACCCAUGGAUGGGCCUGAAGGAAGAGGUCUCAGGAAUAAGCAAGCCACAGACACACCCUGCAGGCAGGAGGAGGACGGCAUGAAGGCUGCAGGUGCAGGGCUCUGUGCUCAGCUGGAUGGGGCUGAGGGAGGAGACCCAUUCAGAUGCUGGGGCCUGCUGGGUCGAAGGCCAGUCAGCUCCUCUUGCUCUCAGCCAGGCCAACCCUUGAGGGUCUCAGACUUCACUGUUCACCACUCCGCUACACACAGGUAGCCUGUGAAAGUCACUUCUCUAGAUCCCCAGGGACGUACAUCCCGCAACGCUAGCUUGGGCGGGACCUGAGUGCCAGCUGGGUGGCCAGAGGUGGGCGAAUUUAAGGCAGAUGGCAAAGCCAUUCCCACCCCAGGGCCACUGGUCGGCACAGCUGGGCACAGCCCACCACCUGCCAGACCUUUCAGAGGGAAUGCAUCUCCCUCCAAGCCAGGUCCCAGCUGGGAUCUUCCAGCUGAAGAGGUUUCCUUGGGCAGAAGCGAGAAGCGAAUUGGAAGAAAGAGGCCCUGACCCUCCAGGAGGCUCCAUUCUGCCUGUGGCCCUGAAAAAAGAGAGCAGGAAGGAGCAACUCUCACUUCUUCACAGCGACUUUGAGAAGUGGAAGACAGGGGCCGCUCCCCGGCUACAAACAAGAAGCCGAUGGAAACCAACACCGUCCCCUCCAGCCUCAUCUCCUCGCUCUUCAGAGUUUGCAGGGAGAUGCAUCACGAAGGCCCAUGAAGCUGUAAAGAUUAGUAUUCCAACCCGGGCAGCAGGGUUUUAAUUAGUCAUUAGGCCCUUUCUGCAGAGCCAUGCUGAACAGGCAAGGGCAGGGUGACCUUUCUCCGCCCAGCACUGUGGCAGCCUGUCUGCUUUGCAGGUGCACUUGGGACUCUGUCAAAACCGCUAAGAGGAGAGGACUGAGGCUGGGCCGGGAAGGAGGCCCUAGCCUCUCUGUUCCUGGGCAUGGCCCCCACCACGGGGGCACUGCAGACCUUUGCUCCCAUCUGGCUCUAGCUCACAGCUUGCACCCCUCAUCCACAAGGGACACAGACAGUUGCUCACGUGAUGGCUCUCCUAGCGAGCCCACGGGCAACGCCAGGAACAAGCCACCCAGGAGUUGAAGCACUUCCCUGGUGUGUGUGAUGGGAGAGGGGAGGGAGCCGGCUUCCUGCAGCCAGUCCCCGCCGGAUUCCAGGAAGGCGAGCGAACCCCUGCGGAAGGUCGGUUCUCAGCCAGGCAUCUGGGACCCCCCUGCCAAGUUGCCCCUUCUUGGCCAAAUGUCACCACAUACCAUAAAAUCACAGAGAACCUUCCAGCUUGCCUGCCUUAGAAGCCAACCCUCCCAACCUCCUGGUUUCUCGAGGACAGUGAGGCCAAGAGCAGCUGCAACCAGGGGCGUGCAGAGGCCGGUGGCUGAGCUGGGGCCAGGACCCUGGACUAUGGCUGUCUAUUUACAACCCAAAAUAAAACGCUAAUUGCCACCAGCACCUGCUGACAAAGAUUUCAAAUCAGUGUCCUCACGAGGACUUCUCCUGGGGCUUCCUGCCAAGCUCAUGAUGUGCUUCUAUCCAGUGGGUCAGCAGGCCCCGGUGUCUGAGGGCACAGCAUUUCUUUCUGCCACUGCUCCGGAUUAUCUGCCCCAGUCUGGCCCCUCGGCUCCUGCCUCACCCACAGUGCCCCCAGGCCUCCCUCCCGUGGGCUGUUCGGCUCCUGUCUCCCACCUUCUCUCCACCUUGGCAGCCGUCCAUGGCCACAGGCUUGCACCCGGGUCUUGCACUGAACGUCAACUCAGGUGCGAGGCUUUCCUUCCCAGCUUCACUGCAAACACUGCAGGCAGGCCUUGGGGUCAUCUGGCUCAGCACACCACAGGGACCCCACUAGCUCUUAUCCGCUGUAUGGGGGUCCCAUAGCCAUGGGCUGGGCACUUCAUAGGAAAUGGACGUCUGUGACCUCCAAGGGGUUACAGACACACCCUCCGAGGGGAGGUGACAGAAUGGCUGGAAGUCGCCACCACGAUCACAGCCCGGAGCCACUGUGGGGACCUUGGUGCGUGUGCCCCGUUCGUGUUGUCACCAGUGCAGGUGCCCUGCACCUCCGCCUCUCAGGAGCAGCCACCCAGCUACAGUCUGAGCAAUUGCACAUCUGGCUCACUGCAGUUCCUUGUAUGACAGCAAGGACAAUGUAACAGGUUUCAUGCCUUCUUGUCUGUGCUGUUAGUUCCUGAUGCCAAGCCCUUCCCAGGAGGCUGAGGAUCAGGCGGACUCUCAGGCCAGCAGCAGCAAGGUAGGAAGUCCUCCUGCCCCAGAUGCCUCCAGCCUGCAGACUUCAUAAUAAAUGGGAGGUUGGCUUUCCCAGCCAAAGCCAUAAACUUUAAUUGGGCUUUUUAAAGACCACAAAAGCAAAUAUAUGCCCUUAAAGAAACCCUUUGGUAACUUGCUCAGAACAUAAAGGUGACUAUUAGCAUGUGCUGAUUUGAAAUACCAAGAAGAAAAUAUCUCCCACAUCAACAUAUGCUAGUGUAAGGCAUGUCCUGUUUUGCAUAGCUCUCACGGUUCCCCACCCUAACACUAGGGCCCGCCUGUCCUAGAGGGCAGCAUGCUUGAAAUCAGAAGACUGCAUUUGGCCUGGCUCCACAUGCCCCUUAACAUUGUUCUUUUUUGUUUUCUUUGAGACAGGGCCUGUCGCCCAGGCUGGAGUGCAGUGGUGUAAUCUUGGCUCACCACAACCUCCACCUCUCAGCAACCUCCGCCCCCCAGCAACCUCCACCUCCCGGCAAACUCCACCUCCUGGGUUCAAGCCAUUCUUGUGUCUCAGCCUCCCGAGUAGCUGGGAUUAUAGGCAUACGCCACCACACCCGGCUAGUUUUUGCAUUUUUAGUAGAGAGAGAGUUUUGCCAUGUUGGCCAGGCUGUUCUCGAACCCCUGACCUCAAGUGAGCCACCCACCUCGGCCUCCCUAAGUGCUGGGAUUACAGCCAUGAGUCACCGCGCCCGGCCGCUCCUUAACAUUGUUGAGCUCCCCUUUCCUCCUCUGCGUAAUUAGUAAGAUCUCUUCCACCUGCCUCAUGGGCUGACUGAGGGAACAACCCAGACAGGGAUGAUCAUGACGGUGCUGUUGGCUGACUGUGGGGCUCGACACUGUGCUCAUCACUUUAUGCAUCUGAGAUGGAAAUGGUCUCAGCCACAGGCACAGAUGGGGAACCCAAGGCAAAGAGAGGUUAAGUAACUUACCCUUGGUCAUGCAGACAGUGGCUGAGCCCGAAUUCAGCCCCAGUGUCUUUAACUCCAGGUGUGAGGGCAGCGGCUCCAGCACGCGAGGCCCCAGGAGCCAGGCACUGCUCACAGCACCAGGCGUGACCGCAGCGGCUCCAGCACGCGGGGCCCCGGGAGCCAGGCACUGCUCGCAGCGCGGGUCGCUCACGUGUUCUUUGGAGGCAAAUCCAUGCGGCGUUCACACACACGGACCUUGCAGUUGCUUGCGCCUUUUUUUCUCUCCAACUCAUCACAGGGCAUGACUUCUCUCCAAGCUGCCUGAAAUAAAAUGAAUAACUUUUUAUGUGAAGUUCUUCGUGCUGAAGAGAACUUGUUCCAAAUGGGGAAUAAUUGGCCUUCCAGGGCUCCAUACCGGCAAUGAAGUGAAAGAUGCUGACGUUUCAGAGGUGUGGAAAUAAAAGGACUAAAAAUGGGAUUCGGAGCAGCUAAUGAGGGCAGAUCCGCAGGGUUUGAGAGACAAAAUGGGGAUCGCAGGUGGAAGCUGGCACCGCGGCCAGGGGCAGCCCACGCAGCAGCGAGUGGGGCCGAGGUCGUGGGCGGGUGUCCGGACCCUCAUCACAGGAACUUGCUGGAACCCCCAGAGGCCCCGGCCUCUGCUGGCUUUGAGGCCUCAGACCUCCCUAGUCCAGUCACGAGCCACCGAGCCCCCUAUACGAGUCUGCUCAGCGGCUGUAUGAAGCAUGUUAUGUUUGACGAAGGAUUAAACACCAGAAAUGUAUUGUCCCCGGUUCUGGAGGCUGGAAGUCUGAGAUCAAGGGGCUGGCAGGGCUGGUUCCUUCUGAGACCCCUCUCCCUGGCCUGUGGGUGCCAUCUUCUCUCUCUGUGGGUGUCCAUGUCUUUACCACCCCUUCUCCUAAGGACACCAGUCCUAUUGGAUUAAGGUCCACCCUAAUGGCCCCAUUUUAACUUAGUUACCUCUCUGAAAAUCCUACCUCCAAAUACGAUCACAGACUCCAAGCUGCUGGGGUGAGGACUUCAACAUGUGAAUUUGGGGCGAGGGGCAGCUUGGUUCAGCUCCUAACAUGCAUGUCAGCCACGCUCUCACUCACUCAUCCUUGUUUUGAUUCGUUUACAUGGUGCAUGUCUCCGGUGCCUACUGUGUGCUAAGCUGGGCCAAGACAGAAGCUGCCUGCCAGGAGCCCAGUGCCCAGUGGAGGAGGAGGGAUGGAGCAACAGGGCAGUAGGACGGGGUGUGGCUGUGCCCCAGAUGGGGAGGAGUUAGCCCUGGCCCCAUGUGCAGUGCAGCCUCCGGGUGCCCACCGCUCUGGGACUACAGAGUAGCUCCUUGGACAGUCAUGUCUUCAGAACUGAGAGCUGAGAUGACCCAGUUGGCCCAUAUUAGGCAGUUUCCAGUCCAGGAAAGGAGGGGGUGGCAUCAAGACCUGAGCUCUGGGGAGCACAUUUUGGGGUCCACAUUCUUGCUUUGCUUGUGGAAUGCCUGCAGGAGCUGGAGGCCACGCCACAGAGCCCUUGGGAGGAGAAACGGCCACGUGUGGAGGGCAGUCUGAUGGCAGGUAUCCACGCUGAAGAUACAUGUGUCCUUUGAACCAGCCCCCAGUUCCCUGGGAGAAUGUCUCAGAUCCCUAGGCAAAGGCACAAAGAUCUGGUGUGUUUACUGCUGUAAGAGACAGCCCCAAACCUCGGCAGUUUCUCCCAACAUAGAAACCCACAGAGCGAUGCUGUGAUCCAGGUCCUGCCUGCUCCAUGGUACCACCCUUCUCUGGUUCAGCAGACAGAGAGGGAGAGAGCGUGAGGACCACACAUGAGGGGUUUUAUGGCUGACCAGAAGCAGAACACAGCACUUCCUCUCACCUCCCAUUGACCAGACUCCAGUACACACAGGACCGCCUGAGAAACAUGUGCACCGGGGGAAGAGAGCGUGGUUGGAACACCAGCCAUCUCUCAUGCAAUAUUUAUCUAAAUUCUAAAAUAAUUGAGCAUUGAAUCCAACUGGAACUCCCU
This 29298-nucleotide long non-coding RNA is filed under the name Homo sapiens (human). Its description in RNAcentral is "non-protein coding lnc-FCN2-1:4". Lineage: Eukaryota; Metazoa; Chordata; Mammalia; Primates; Hominidae. The record is from RNAcentral.